RNAcentral lists this ribosomal RNA (456 nucleotides) under Bacillus zhangzhouensis. RNAcentral describes it as "bacterial SSU rRNA". It matches the Rfam family "Bacterial small subunit ribosomal RNA", at positions 75 to 516 of the family's 1533-position model. The record is from RNAcentral. Lineage: Bacteria; Bacillati; Bacillota; Bacilli; Caryophanales; Bacillaceae.
GGAGCUUGCUCCCGGAUGUUAGCGGCGGACGGGUGAGUAACACGUGGGUAACCUGCCUGUAAGACUGGGAUAACUCCGGGAAACCGGAGCUAAUACCGGAUAGUUCCUUGAACCGCAUGGUUCAAGGAUGAAAGACGGUUUCGGCUGUCACUUACAGAUGGACCCGCGGCGCAUUAGCUAGUUGGUGGGGUAAUGGCUCACCAAGGCGACGAUGCGUAGCCGACCUGAGAGGGUGAUCGGCCACACUGGGACUGAGACACGGCCCAGACUCCUACGGGAGGCAGCAGUAGGGAAUCUUCCGCAAUGGACGAAAGUCUGACGGAGCAACGCCGCGUGAGUGAUGAAGGUUUUCGGAUCGUAAAGCUCUGUUGUUAGGGAAGAACAAGUGCGAGAGUAACUGCUCGCACCUUGACGGUACCUAACCAGAAAGCCACGGCUAACUACGUGCCAGCAGCC